Molecule: ribosomal RNA, 492 nt
Filed under: uncultured bacterium
Lineage: Bacteria
Description: partial 16S ribosomal RNA
Rfam family: Bacterial small subunit ribosomal RNA
Source: RNAcentral
AUUGAACGCUGGCGGCAUGCUUUACACAUGCAAGUCGAACGGUAACAGGCCUUCGGGUGCUGACGAGUGGCGGACGGGUGAGUAAUGCAUCGGAACGUACCCAGAGGUGGGGGAUAACGCAGCGAAAGCUGUGCUAAUACCGCAUGUGAUCUGAGGAUGAAAGCGGGGGACCGAGCAGCAAUGUUUGGCCUCGCGCCUUUGGAGCGGCCGAUGUCGGAUUAGCUAGUUGGUGGGGUAAAGGCCUACCAAGGCGACGAUCCGUAGCUGGUCUGAGAGGACGACCAGCCACACUGGGACUGAGCCACGGCCCAGACUCCUACGGGAGGCAGCAGUGGGGAAUUUUGGACAAAGGGCGCAAGCCUGAUCCAGCAAUGCCGCGUGCGGGAAGAAGGCCUUCGGGUUGUAAACCGCUUUUGGCAGGAACGAAACGGUGUCCGCUAAUACCGGGCGCUAAUGACGGUACCUGCAGAAUAAGCACCGGCUAACUACGUG